This is a long non-coding RNA of Nannospalax galili (Upper Galilee mountains blind mole rat), 879 nucleotides long. RefSeq lists it as uncharacterized. The record is from RefSeq and is a predicted model, not a curated record. The transcript is spliced from 3 exons. NCBI's taxonomy places the organism in Eukaryota, Metazoa, Chordata, Mammalia, Rodentia, Spalacidae.
UCUUGCAUUAAAUGUGCAAAUACAGAGGUGCUUCCAUUUACUGAUCAUGAAAAGUCCUGUUGCUGCCUGAGGACAUUGAAUCCUGGAUGCCUGAGACCCACUAGCAGUCUAAGGUCACCUUCUGAUCCCAGGCACCUCACCAUCCACAUACAGUCCCAUUGGUUAAGCCAUCUGCUGGAAUAGGGGCUCCUUCGGAAUGCUUUCCAGAGCCCAGCGUUACACAGGACUUGACAUGAGCUCUUUGAAGGCCUGGCCCUUGUCUGCCACAUCCUACAGAGGGCUUGUCCAUAGCCUGUCAAAACCUGAAUGACCCUAUGGAACCCAGCAGUCCUUCUUCACUUUAUGGAUUAUACACCUGAAGCUCAGAGACUGAUGAGACUGGCAACGUGGCCCAGCUAGGAGGUGCUGAGCUGGGUUUCUCUCCGGCUAGAGAAGCGCCUGGCCCUGUACCCGCUCUGAGUGGGCGUUCAGCAAUGAGAGCUGGCACUGGGUUCCUUUAGCCAUCUGCUGCUUGAACUGCAAGACCCUACUUGCCUGCCUGGCUGUCACAGCUCCUCAACCAGUCAGUCACAGGAAUUCUAAUGGUUGGGUUUUGUGGAACAAAAAGACCUGCCUCUUGCAAAUGGAGAGAUGCAUUGGCAAUUACCACGCUGAAUGUCUGGGGGAACAGUGUUUGUCUUUUAGGCCUGUUAACAAGAUUAACUUUUGAACCCUACGCAGUAAUGCUUGUUGUGGAUUGGGGAUAGGGGGUGGCUUGGGAAGCACGUACAUUGGUGUCUAACGUCACAAGAGAACCUGGGGUUUGGAAGGACUUAAGACCUCCAGAAAAAUCUCUCUAGCUGUCUGAUCUAUUUUCCAGACACUGAUUUCUCCACUGCC